RNAcentral lists this ribosomal RNA (382 nucleotides) under uncultured bacterium. Its description in RNAcentral is "bacterial SSU rRNA". It matches the Rfam family "Bacterial small subunit ribosomal RNA", at positions 30 to 414 of the family's 1533-position model. The record is from RNAcentral.
AUUGAACGCUGGCGGCAUGCCUUACACAUGCAGGUCGAACGGUAACGGGCCUUCGGGUGCCGACGAGUGGCGAACGGGUGAGUAAUGUAUCGGAACGUACCUUUCAGUGGGGGAUAACGUAGCGAAAGUUACGCUAAUACCGCAUAUUCUGUGCGCAGGAAAGCAGGGGAUCGCAAGACCUUGCGCUGAUUGAGCGGCCGAUAUCAGAUUAGCUAGUUGGUGAGGUAAAGGCUCACCAAGGCGACGAUCUGUAGCGGGUCUGAGAGGAUGAUCCGCCACACUGGAACUGAGACACGGUCCAGACUCCUACGGGAGGCAGCAGUGGGGAAUUUUGGACAAUGGGGGCAACCCUGAUCCAGCCAUGCCGCGUGAGUGAAGAAGG